GACGAACGCUGGCGGAAUGGAUUAGGCAUGCAAGUCGUACGAGAUUUAUACUUUCGGGUAUAUUGAGAGUGGCAAACGGGUGAGUAACGCGUGGGUAUCUGCCUUUAAGCGGGGGAUAACUCAGGGAAACUUGAGCUAAUACCGCAUGUGGCAUUAAUGUUAAAGGUGGCCUCUAUUUAUAAGCUACCGCUUAGAGAUGAGCCUGCGUACUAUUAGCUUGUUGGUGGGGUAAUGGCCUACCAAGGCAAUGAUAGUUAGGCGGCCUUAACGGGUGGUCGCCCACACUGGGAUUGAGAUACGGGCCCAGACUCCUACGGGAGGCAGCAGUCGAGAAUAGUCUACAAUGGACGAAAGUCUGAUAGUGCAAUUCCGCGUGGAUGAAGAAGCAUUUCGGUGUGUAAAAUCCUUUUCUUUUGUGAGCAAAGAUUUUGAAGGUUGAAUUAAUUUUUAAAUUAAGAUAUUAGCAAAGGAUAAGCCUCGGUAACUCCGUGCCAGCCAGCCGCGGUAAA
Molecule: ribosomal RNA, 509 nt
Filed under: uncultured bacterium
Lineage: Bacteria
Description: bacterial SSU rRNA
Rfam family: Bacterial small subunit ribosomal RNA
Source: RNAcentral